UACGGAGGGUGCAAGCGUUAAUCGGAAUUACUGGGCGUAAAGCGCGCGUAGGCGGCUAGAUCAGUCGGGUGUGAAAGCCCUGGGCUUAACCUGGGAACUGCAUUCGAUACUGUCUGGCUAGAGUACAGUAGAGGGGGGUGGAAUUCCACGUGUAGCGGUGAAAUGCGUAGAUAUGUGGAGGAACACCAGUGGCGAAGGCGGCCCCCUGGACUGAUACUGACGCUGAGGUGCGAAAGCGUGGGUAGCAAACAGG
Molecule: unclassified non-coding RNA, 253 nt
Filed under: uncultured Gammaproteobacteria bacterium
Lineage: Bacteria; Pseudomonadati; Pseudomonadota; Gammaproteobacteria
Description: contains 16S-23S intergenic spacer region
Rfam family: Bacterial small subunit ribosomal RNA
Source: RNAcentral